CCUACGGGAGGCAGCAGUGGGGAAUCUUGCGCAAUGGGCGAAAGCCUGACGCAGCAACGCCGCGUGCGGGAUGAAGGCCUUCGGGUUGUAAACCGCUUUCAGCAGGGAAGAAAUUGACGGUACCUGCAGAAGAAGCCCCGGCCAACUACGUGCCAGCAGCCGCGGUAACACGUAGGGGGCGAGCGUUGUCCGGAUUUAUUGGGCGUAAAGAGCUCGUAGGCGGUUCGGUAAGUCGGGUGUGAAACCUCCAGGCUCAACCUGGAGACGCCACCUGAAACUGCUGUGACUAGAGUCCGGUAGGGGAGUGUGGAACUCCUGGUGUAGCGGUGAAAUGCGCAGAUAUCAGGAAGAACACCAGCGGCGAAGGCGGCACUCUGGGCCGGUACUGACGCUGAGGAGCGAAAGCGUGGGUAGCAAACAGGAUUAGAUACCCUGGUAGUCCACGCCGUAAACGUUGGGCACUAGGUGUGGGUCUCACCAACGAGAUCCGUGCCGCAGCUAACGCAUUAAGUGCCCCGCCUGGGGAGUACGGCCGCAAGGCUAAAACUCAAGGAUUGACGG
This 561-nucleotide ribosomal RNA is filed under the name uncultured bacterium. Its description in RNAcentral is "bacterial SSU rRNA". It matches the Rfam family "Bacterial small subunit ribosomal RNA", at positions 338 to 916 of the family's 1533-position model. The record is from RNAcentral.